AUGGAUGACAUUGUUGAUGCAUUGGUUCUCAAGCUUCACUCAAAGAUAUGUUAUCAUAGGGAUGCCAGUGUCGACUACCUGGAAAUAAAGACCACGGUUGAUAAACUCGUAGAAGCGAACAAAAAACUCAAGGAUGAGAAAGUGGACUUCCAGGAUGUCAUUAAUAUGGUCACAGAAGAAAAGGAGAAUUUGCAGCAUGACUGUCAAGUAAUCAAGGAGCGGGUGGCAAAAAAGGAGGAGCAACUUGAAACUGUAAAAAGGGAACUUGAAGAAGCAAAACAUGAACAUGUGGCAGCAAAGAAGGAGCUUGAGGAAGAAAAACUUGGCCAUGUGGCAACAAAGAAGGAGCUUGCGGCGGCACAACAACAACUUGCUCAAAGGAACGAAGAGCUGGAGAUUUUAAGGAAGAAGCUUCAAGAGAGUGAACAUGUACCUUCCAAAAGGGUCGAGGUGGAACAGUGUGUCCUAGCUGUUGCAAGUGAGGAAGGAAGCCAUCAUCGUAGCAGGCCAUGA
This 513-nucleotide ribosomal RNA is filed under the name Triticum aestivum (bread wheat). RNAcentral describes it as "partial small subunit ribosomal RNA". The record is from RNAcentral. Lineage: Eukaryota; Viridiplantae; Streptophyta; Magnoliopsida; Poales; Poaceae.